Molecule: long non-coding RNA, 3564 nt
Organism: Panicum hallii
Lineage: Eukaryota; Viridiplantae; Streptophyta; Magnoliopsida; Poales; Poaceae
Exons: 3
Source: RefSeq, a predicted model, not a curated record
UAAAGCUACGGGGACAUUAUUUUCAGAAAAAAAGUAGAGUAUUGGGCCAUAGAGUUAAUGGGCCGAAUCCUCUUCUCCUCGGCCCAAAACAGGAUCUCUCCGCCUCCGUGGUGGUGGCCGGUGGGAGGGGGCAGCUCGAGCUCCCAGUCCUCCUCAGGGCGGCCUCGGCGAGCAGAGCCAUUCCGCCGCCGGCGCCUGGGAAGUGGGAACCCUAAACCCCCAUUCCCGCAAUCCACUCCACUCCCUCCUCAUCCGUAUCCCGCGGUCUCGUCUUGUUGCGGCGGAGUGCCGGCCCGACGCAGCAGGCAUACGGCGGGGGCAAGAAGCCCGAGCGGCGGCAGCGGCGGCGGCGAGCAGAGUAACCGGAAAAAAGCAGAGAUUAGUUGAGGGAUUGGGAAAUGAAGAAGAAGGCGAGAGCGGAUUUGAAGUCUAUGUGGGAAAGGGCCGGGAAGGCGCAGAGGACCGCUCCGACCUCGGCGCCGACACCCCCAUCGAUUUUGCUUCGGUGCCUGAGGUUUAUACUGCAGCAAGGGCUGGCUUUUCAGGGGCAUGUGGAAAUCGAAGACUCGCUGAACCAAGGAAAUUUUCCUGAGCUCUUGAGAUGGCUGGCAGAGAAUUUGGAAGGAGCAGACAAGGAGGUUCUGCAGAAUGCUCUGAACGAUCCUCAAAUGACUUCUCCAGAAUCCCUGAAAGGUCUUGUUAGUGCUUGUGCCAGAGAAACUACCAGGCGUAUUGAGCGAGACCUUGGUGAUGAAAACUUCGCAAUACUUGCUUGCCUGUUUAGUGAUGCUUGCCAUAGGAGCAGCUGGCUGUUUGCUUGCGGUAUGUUGAUAAGAAAGGAAGGGUGGUUGAGAGGUUUGUUGGCAUUGUGAGUGUCAAGAACCCAGACGCUUCGACAAUUCAAGCUGCGAUUGAGUCCUUACUCAGGGAUCACUCCUUGAGCUGGUCUGGGGUCCGCAGGCAGGGGUAUGAUGGAGUAGGCAACAUGAGGGCUCACGUGAAGGGUGUAAAGAAACUAAUAACAGAUGAGUCUCCUUCUGCUCACUAUGUUCAUUGCUUUGACCAGGAACUGCACUUGGCACUUGUUACUGUUCUUAAGGAUAGCAAUGCUUGUGCUGAUUUCUUUGAGCAACUUGGAUUUUUGGUGAGUGUUCUUGAAAUUUCUUGCAGAAAGGCUCAAAUGCUUCAAAUAGUUGAAGCUCAACAGGUUCUAGAAGGUUUAAAUAAAGAGAACGCCUUUACAUCUUGUGAUCCUCGUUUGGGAUUUCACUAUAAAACUAUUGUACAGAUUUGCGUACUGUAUCCCACCAUCCGAAGUGUUCUUAUCAUGGUUAGAGAAGACAAGACUCAAGGUGUCGAGGCUGUAAAUGCAUGAACAAUAUUGAUAUAUUUUGAGUCAUUUGAGUUUGUUUUCAUGACACACUUGUUGAUGAAAGUGCUUGGAUGCACCUUUACCUUAAGCAGAUCUUUGCAAAGGAGAGAUCGGUUUAUAGUUAAUGGCAUUCAUCUCAUUGGCGUGACAAAGGAAUGUUUGGACGAAGUGCGGGGUGAUCAUGGAUGGGAAACAUUACUUAACGAUGUCACUAGUUUUUGUGCGAAGCAUGACAUCAAAGUCCCUAGUAUGGAUGAUAUUUAUGAGCCAGUUCUAAGAUCGAAAGGGUUCUUCAGAAAAGUCAAGAAUCUCCACCAUUACCGUGUUGAAAUUUUCACAAGUGUCAUUGAUAGGCACUUCAAGAGUUGAAUGACAGAUUUGAUGAGGUAAACACAGAUUUUCUUUUCGGCGUGGCAUCACUUGAUCCAGCUAAUUCAUUUUAUCCCUGUGACAAGGAUAAGCUACUUAAACUUGCUCGAUUUUAUCCCAAAGACUUCUCAAGGAAAGAUUUGUUGAAUCUUCCCAUCCAUAUCACACGCUUUAUUGCUGAUAUGCAUGAGGAUGAAAGGUUUAGAGAAGUGAAAAGUUUUGUUGAGCUGUCAGUUAUGCUUGUCGAAACAAAGAAGAGCCUCAAACAUCCUAUUGUUUACAAGCUUCUUAAAUUGGUGCUAGUUCUUCCCAUAGCAACUGCUAGUGUUGAGAGGGUAUUUUCUGCAAUGGAUCUUGUUAUGAAUAAGCUAAGAAAUAGAGUGGGGGAGCAAUUACUCUAUGAUUGCCUGGUUACAUUUGUUGAGAGGGAGGUUUUCGUGCAAGUCAAGGAUGAGGCCUUGCCGCCUUGGUAUCAUUUCCAAGCCAUUGUAGGAGCAUAAAGUCACAAGAAGCGUCUGGAUGUUAAGCUGAAGCUAAUGGCUGAGUAAUUCAGUAUGGACUGAAGUGCAAGAGGGAGGGAGCUGUUGUGGAUUUUAGCCAAAUCCAUAAAGCAAGGGAUCUGCUGCUUACUGUUGAUGAGAAGAACCCUUGCCAUAUCUUCAAGAGUGAAGUUCUGCUUUUCUGCAUGAAGUUGUGAUGGAUUCCUUGCUGACAAGCAGAGCAUGCUAGAGUACAUCAUUGCUCUCCUGCAGAGUGCUUCCUGGCAAGGGUUGACAGGUGAAUUGUCAACAUCCCCUUGUUUAUGGUGAGGGUCGAGUCUGAGAGGCACAUUGACCUGUCAUUGACAGGCCCAUUCGGUGGUGGCGGUCCCCCAGGUAGGGUGAGGAACCAGAAGAACUGAAGAAGUCAAGUGGGCUGGUGCCUAUGCCAGUGGUAAGGACAGAGAGGAGACAUGCGAAAUAAAGGGAGCCUAGUAGUUUAACGAUAUGUAAUCGCCUUAAGAUGUUAAGGAUGUGAGUGGUAUGUGUAGCCCAGCCUGAGAUUCACAAAGCCUGUGUUGCAUUUCAGAAUUUUAGCAGGCUGUCCUGUAGAUAGUGGCUUUCUUUUAUUUCGCUGUGUAAGGUAGCUCAAGCUAUCAUGUGUUUGGAGACGUCUAAUGUCUGAACUUGGAAGUUGGAAUAUAGUUGCACUGUCCAAUUCUUUUUAGUACAACCCUAUUACAUUAUAUCGCGUUAAAAAAGGUGAAACUUCUUGAAAGAAUUAAAAAGAAGCAUUAUUUUUUCAACUUACUGUUACUAUAUCAGGUUCUGCCUGUUAUUUGCAUGGUCGCAUGAUUGGUAACAUGUCGAUGCUCUUCUCCACUUUUAUGGUGUGCUCUAAUGCUGAACUAACCAAGGGAACAUUCGAACAAUUAUUGAUGUUCUAUCCUGUACCAUUCUGCUGUAAAAAAACAAAAAACAAAAACAAAAGUUACCCUUCAAAUACGUUGAAGUAUCGUGAAGAUCACGAUCAGAUGUAGAGGUUGGAAUAAAAUGUCAUUCCAAGAGCACGAGCCAGGCCACCAUUUGCCAAGUUGGGGCAGCCGGUGGUGCCGAAGCAGGCGUCGUUUUCCAACAGGGGAAGUUCGGUGAGCCGGCUUGGUGUGAUUCUCAUGACAUGGACAGCCUCCUCUUCACAAUCAUCCAUUAACUCCUCUUCUUUUCCUCUUCCAUUUUUAUUGAACUGUACAAGACAAGCGAGAUUGUUCCUCUCACAAAACUCACGUCAACUUCAGCACUGCCUUUUUUUAAUCUUUUGGCACCAACUAACCGCAAUUGAGAAAU